Long non-coding RNA from Symphalangus syndactylus (siamang), 3058 nucleotides. RefSeq lists it as uncharacterized. The record is from RefSeq and is a predicted model, not a curated record. NCBI's taxonomy places the organism in Eukaryota, Metazoa, Chordata, Mammalia, Primates, Hylobatidae.
AGGUGGAGAUAAUUGAAUCAUGGGGGCAGUUCCCCCAUCCUGUUCUCCUGGUAGUGAGUUCUCAUGAGAUCUGAUGGUUUUAUAAGGAGCUUCCCUCUUCGCUGGACACUCAUUCUUCUCCCUCCUGCCACCGUCUAAGAAAUGCUUUUGCUCCUCCUUCGCCUUCCACCAUGAUUUUAAAGCCUCCCCAUCCGUGUGGAACUAUACGCGGUCUCCUGGCUUCAAGUGAUCCUGCCCCAGCCUCCCAAAGUGCUAGGAUUACAGACAGGGUCUCACUCUGUGGCACAGGCUGGAGUGCAGCCUCCACCUCCCAGGCUCCAGUGAUCCUCCCACCUCAACCUCCAGAGUAGCUGAGACCACAGGCACUCACCACCACACCUGGCCAAUUUUUGUGUUUUCUGUACAGACGGGGUUUUUCCAUGUUGCCCAGGCUGGUCUCGAACACCUGAGCUCAAGCAAUCCUCCCGCCUCAGGCUCCCAAAGUGCAGGGGAUUACAGGCGAGAGCCACCACCCCUGGCAUCAUGAUCUUUUUCCUGAAAGUUGCCUAAGGAGAUGCUAAUGCACAAAACCUCCCCAUGUAUGCUGGUGAAUGAUGGGACUCUGUCAACAGCACCCGGCACAUAAGCCACCUGGAUCCUUGGAUCUUUAGGAGAAAUGGACCUUUGCUUUUCUCUGUCAUAAUCCAGCUACACCCCACUCUGCAUAUAGUCCCACUUAGUGGAGAAAAUAAAAGGUCAUCAUGGAUACCACAGAGAGCCCCAUUCAGACCCUAGACACAGCUUACAAUAUUGGUAUGAAACAGAGGAACAUACGACUAUGAUGAAAUGUGGAAGUACAGAAGUGGCAUCUGCUCCACAGCCUCUCAAUGUGUGCUAUUCAAUGAAAUUCAUUUUGCUAAAAUUUAAUACAUUAUCUUGUCUCUGUAGUCAAGUAUUACAUAGUAAAAUUUAUGGUGGACUGAGCAGAUUCCGAAUUUUAGAGCUAGAAAGAGCCUAAGAUACCAGAAGAGUCCAAAGCCCAAAGAGGUGACUGGUGUAAGGUCCAGUGAGGACCAUCAUAGGGAACAGAGCCCUGUGAGAGGCAUCUCAUACGUUCUGUUCCCAGAAGGACCAAAUAGAGCAGGAGCCCAUUCUGACAGAUAUUUUACAAGUAUGGAUGGAGUUUUUGGUGACUUUCCCCAACCUUCCCCUUCCUAAGACUGAAAACCACCACCCAGAGAAAAAUGCAAUGACAACACUAAUUCAUUGGGUAUAUGUAUCGAAAAAUGAUAUACCCCAAAAGUCUAAAAAAUUAUAUUAAGAACUUUGUAUAUUUCCUCUUAUUUGAGUUGAAAAUCCAUACAAAAGUUGAAGUAUUAAAGAAAUCAGUCUGUAUUUUUUUUUUUUUAGAUGGAGUCUCACUCUGUCUCCCAGGCUGGAGUGCAAUGAUGUGAUCUCAGCUCACUGCAACCUCUGCCUCCUGGGUUCAAGUGAUUCUUCUGCCUCAGCCUCCCGAGUAGUUGGGACUACAAGCCUGCACCACCAUGCCCGGCUAAUUUUGUAUUUUUGGUAGAGGCAGGGUUUCACCAUGUUGGCCAGGCUGGUCUUGAACUCCAGACCUCGUGAUCUGCCCACCUCAGCCUCCCAAAUUGCUGGGAUUACAGGUGUGAGCCACCGCGCCUGGCCAUCAGUAUGUAUUUUUAGCAGCAUGAUAAAGCACAGAAAGAGAGUGGCUAAAGACUGACCAAGAAUGGUGUACUAAAAAUUAGAGAAACUAUGUAGUAUAACUAAUGUGUAAUUAAAUACCCAGGGCCUUUUUUUUCCUUUCAAUUGGAAAAAGCAAACUCAACUUAUGAUUAUUCCUGCUAACCUGAUUUUAAAAUUAGGAAUGGAGUAGCUAACAUCAUACUGAAUGGGGAAAAUCUAAAAGCCUUAAUUCUAAGAACUGGAAAAAAACAAGGAUGCCCACUUUCACCACUCCUAUUCAACAUAGUACUGGAAGUCCUAGCCAGAGUAAUUAGGCAAGAAAAAGAAAUAAGAGGCAUCCAAAUUAGAAAAGAAGAAGUUAAAUUAUCCCUCUUUAUAGAUGACAUGAUCUUAUAUCCAGAAAAACCUAAAGGUGCCACAAAAUAGCUCUUAGAUCUGAUCAAUAAAUUAGGUAAAGUUGUAGGAUACAAAAUCAACAUAUAAAAAUCAGUAGGUUUUCUAUACACUAAUAAUGAACUAGCUGAGAUAGAAACCAAGAAGUCAAUCCCAUUUACAACAACUACACAAAAUAAAAUGGGAAUAAAUUUAACCAAGGAGGUGAAAGACCUCUAUAAGGAAAGCUACAAAACCCUGAUGAAAGAAAUUGAAGAUGACACAAACGGAAAGACCCAUACUUAUGGACUGGAAGAAUUAAUCUCAUUAAAAUGAGCAUACUGCCCAAAGUGAUCUAUAAAUUCAAUGCAAUCCCUAUCAAAAUAUCAGUGUUAUUUUUCACAUAAAUAGAAAACACAAUCCUAAAAUUCAUAUGGAACCACAAAAGGGCCCAAAUAGCCAAAGCAAUCCUGGGCAACCAAAACAGCAUGGUAUUGGUAUAAAAUGAAAAUGAACUGCUAUCUCUCACCGUAUAAAAAAAUCAACUCAAGGUGGGAUUAAAGACUAAAAUAUAAGACCCAAAACUAUAAAGCUACUAGAAGAAAACACAGGGGAAACACUUUAGGACAUUGGUCUAGACAAAGAUUUUAUGGCUAACAUCUCAAAAGCACAGGUAACAAAAACAAAAAUAGACAAAUGGGACUAUAUUAAACUAAAAAGUUUCUGCACAGCAAAAAAGACAAUCAACAGAGUGAAAAGAUAACCUCUUGAAUGGGAGAAAAUAUUUGCAAACUGUAAAUCCAACAAGGGACUAAUAGCCAGAGUAUACAAGUAACUCAAACAACUAAAGAGUGAAAAACAAAUAAUCCUAUUAAAAAGUGGGCAAAGGACAUGAAUAAACAUUCACCAAAAGAAGACAUAAAUGGCCAACAGGUAUAUGAAAAAAUGUUCAGCAUCACUAAUCAUCAGGAAAAUGCAAAUCAAAGCCACAAUGAGAUAU